CUACGGGAGGCACCAGUGGGGAAUUUUGGACAAUGGGCGAAAGCCUGAUCCAGCCAUUCCGCGUGAGUGAUGAAGGCCUUCGGGUUGUAAAGCUCUUUCGGCCGGGAAGAAAUCGUGCAGGCUAAUAUCCUGCAUGGAUGACGGUACCGGACCAAGAAGCACCGGCUAACUACGUGCCAGCAGCCGCGGUAAUACGUAGGGUGCGAGCGGUAAUCGGAAUUACUGGGCGUAAAGCGUGCGCAGGCGGAUGUUUAAGCCAGAUGUGAAAUCCCCGGGCUUAACCUGGGAAUGGCAUUUGGAACUGGACAUCUAGAGUGUGUCAGAGGGGGGUGGAAUUCCACGUGUAGCAGUGAAAUGCGUAGAGAUGUGGAGGAACACCGAUGGCGAAGGCAGCCCCCUGGGAUAACACUGACGCUCAUGCACGAAAGCGUGGGGAGCAAACAGGAUUAGAUACCCGCGUAGUC
This 464-nucleotide ribosomal RNA is filed under the name uncultured bacterium. Its description in RNAcentral is "partial 16S ribosomal RNA". It matches the Rfam family "Bacterial small subunit ribosomal RNA", at positions 339 to 795 of the family's 1533-position model. The record is from RNAcentral.